GAUGAAGAACGUAGCGAAAUGCGAUAAGUAAUGUGAAUUGCAGAAUUCAGUGAAUCAUCGAAUCUUUGAACGCACCUUGCGCUCCUUGGUAUUCCGAGGAGCAUGCCUGUUCGAGCGUCAUUUGUACCUUCAAGCUCUGCUUGGUGUUGGGUGUUUGUCUCGCCUCUGCGUGUAGACUCGCCUCAAAAUAAUUGGCAGCCGGCGUAUUGAUUUCGGAGCGCAGUACAUCUCGCGCUUUGCACUCAUAACGACGACGUCCAAAAGUACAUUUUUACACUCUUGACCUCGGAUCAGGUAGGGAUACCCGCUGAACUUAAGCAUAUCAAUAAGCGGAGGA
This 337-nucleotide unclassified non-coding RNA is filed under the name soil metagenome. Its description in RNAcentral is "partial contains 5.8S ribosomal RNA, internal transcribed spacer 2, and large subunit ribosomal RNA". The stretch from base 1 to 120 matches the Rfam family "5.8S ribosomal RNA", at positions 35 to 154 of the family's 154-position model. The record is from RNAcentral.